This 292-nucleotide ribosomal RNA is filed under the name uncultured bacterium. RNAcentral describes it as "partial 16S ribosomal RNA". The record is from RNAcentral.
GGACUACAGGGGUUUCUAAUCCUGUUUGCUCCCCACGCUUUCGCGUCUCAGCGUCAGUCACGUCCCAGCGAGCUGCCUUCGCCAUUGGUGUUCCUCCUGAUAUCUGCGCAUUUCACCGCUACACCAGGAAUUCCACUCGCCCCUUCCGGACUCUAGCUUGACAGUAUCCACCGGCUUUCCAGGGUUGAGCCCUGGACUUUCACAGCAGACUUACCAAGCCGCCUACACGCUCUUUACGCCCAAUAAUUCCGGACAACGCUUGCACCCUACGUAUUACCGCGGCGGCUGGCAC